AGAGGAAAGAGCUCAAAGUUGGAACCUGUUUGGCCUAGCUAAACCGGAUUGUAGACUGUAGAAGUGUUUUCCAGGCAAGCCGAGUAAAUAAGUCCUUUGGAACAGGGCAUCAUAGAGGGUGAGAAUCCCGUCUUUGGCUUGAGCAUUUGCCUUUUGUGAUACGCUUUCAAAGAGUCAGGUUGUUUGGGAAUGCAGCCUAAAUUGGGUGGUAAAUCUCACCUAAAGCUAAAUAUUGGCGAGAAACCGAUAGCGAACAAGUACCGUGAGGGAAAGAUGAAAAGAACUUUGAAAAGAGAGUUAAACAGUAUGUGAAAUUGUUAAAAGGGAACCGUUUGGAGCCAGACUGGCUUGUCUGUAAUCAAUCUAGGCUUCGGCCUGGAUGCACUUGCAGGCUAUGCCUGCCAACGACAAUUUGACUUGAGGGAAAAAACUAGGGGAAAUGUGGCCCACUUGUGGGUGUUAUAGUCCCUUAGAAAAUACCUUGGGUUGGAUUGAGGAAC
This 500-nucleotide unclassified non-coding RNA is filed under the name Rhizopus arrhizus. RNAcentral describes it as "Rhizopus oryzae sequence contains 28S rRNA gene". It matches the Rfam family "Eukaryotic large subunit ribosomal RNA", at positions 97 to 594 of the family's 3401-position model. The record is from RNAcentral. Lineage: Eukaryota; Fungi; Mucoromycota; Mucoromycetes; Mucorales; Rhizopodaceae.